Molecule: ribosomal RNA, 809 nt
Filed under: Alicyclobacillus acidiphilus
Lineage: Bacteria; Bacillati; Bacillota; Bacilli; Caryophanales; Alicyclobacillaceae
Description: bacterial SSU rRNA
Rfam family: Bacterial small subunit ribosomal RNA
Source: RNAcentral
UAGAGUUUGAUCCUGGCUCAGGACGAACGCUGGCGGCGUGCCUAAUACAUGCAAGUCGAGCGAACCCUUCGGGGUGAGCGGCGGACGGGUGAGUAACACGUGGGCAAUCUGCCUAUCAGACUGGAAUAACACUCGGAAACGGGUGCUAAUGCCGGAUAGUUCAAGGGAAGGCAUCUUCCGUUGAGGAAAGUUGCAAAUGCAACACUGAUAGAGGAGCCCGCGGCGCAUUAGCUAGUUGGUGAGGUAACGGCCCACCAAGGCGACGAUGCGUAGCCGACCUGAGAGGGUGACCGGCCACACUGGGACUGAGACACGGCCCAGACUCCUACGGGAGGCAGCAGUAGGGAAUCUUCCGCAAUGGGCGAAAGCCUGACGGAGCAACGCCGCGUGAGCGAAGAAGGCCUUCGGGUUGUAAAGCUCUGUUGCUCGGGGAGAGCAAUAAGGAGAGUGGAAAGCUCCUUAGGAGACGGUACCGAGUGAGGAAGCCCCGGCUAACUACGUGCCAGCAGCCGCGGUAAUACGUAGGGGGCAAGCGUUGUCCGGAAUCACUGGGCGUAAAGCGUGCGUAGGCGGUUGUGUAAGUCUGGAGUGAAAGUCCAAGGCUCAACCUUGGUUUGUCUUUGGAAACUGCAUAACUUGAGUGCUGGAAAAGNCAAGGGGAAUUCCNCGUGUAGCGGUGAAAUGCGUANAUAUGUGGAGGANUACNAGUGNGAAAGCNCUUGCUGGACAAAACUGACNCUGAGCACAAAGCGUGGGAGCAACAGGAUNNAUACCUGGUAUCCNCCCCUAACAAUAAUGCUAGUUUGGGG